RNAcentral lists this ribosomal RNA (253 nucleotides) under uncultured bacterium. RNAcentral describes it as "partial 16S ribosomal RNA". It matches the Rfam family "Bacterial small subunit ribosomal RNA", at positions 524 to 776 of the family's 1533-position model. The record is from RNAcentral.
UACGUAGGGUGCAAGCGUUAAUCGGAAUUACUGGCGUAAAGCGUGCGCAGGCGGUUAUGUAAGACAGGUGUGAAAUCCCCGGGCUUAACCCUGGGAACUGCAUUUGUGACUGCAUAGCUAGAGUACGGUAGAGGGGGAUGGAAUUCCGCGUGUAGCAGUGAAAUGCGUAGAUAUGCGGAGGAACACCGAUGGCGAAGGCAAUCCCCUGGACCUGUACUGACGCUCAUGCACGAAAGCGUGGGGAGCAAACAGG